Molecule: ribosomal RNA, 205 nt
Filed under: uncultured Latescibacterota bacterium
Lineage: Bacteria; Pseudomonadati; Candidatus Latescibacterota
Description: uncultured Latescibacteria bacterium partial 16S ribosomal RNA
Rfam family: Bacterial small subunit ribosomal RNA
Source: RNAcentral
CGUCAAGUCCUCAUGGCCCUUACAUCCCGGGCUACACACGUGCUACAAUGGCAGGUACAGAGGGCUGCGAAGCCGCGAGGGUGGAAGCCGAAAUACCCAGAAAACCUGUCUCAGUCCGGAUUGAAGUCUGCAACUCGACUUCAUGAAGGCGGAAUCGCUAGUAACCGCGAAUCAGCAGGUCGCGGUGAAUACGUUCCCAGGCCUU